GACGAGGUGGCCGAGUGGUUAAGGCGAUGGUUUGCUAAGCCAUUGUGCUCUGCACGCGUGGGUUCGAGUCCCAUCCUCGUCG
RNAcentral lists this transfer RNA (82 nucleotides) under Anneissia japonica. RNAcentral's name for it is "tRNA-Ser". It matches the Rfam family "tRNA". Rfam says of the family: Transfer RNA (tRNA) molecules are approximately 80 nucleotides in length. Lineage: Eukaryota; Metazoa; Echinodermata; Crinoidea; Comatulida; Comatulidae. The record is from RNAcentral.